Molecule: ribosomal RNA, 466 nt
Filed under: uncultured bacterium
Lineage: Bacteria
Description: partial 16S ribosomal RNA
Rfam family: Bacterial small subunit ribosomal RNA
Source: RNAcentral
GACGAACGCUGGCGGCGUGCUUAACACAUGCAAGUCGAACGGAAAGGCCCUGCUUUUGUGGGGUGCUCGAGUGGCGAACGGGUGAGUAACACGUGAGUAACCUGCCCUUGACUUUGGGAUAACUUCAGGAAACUGGGGCUAAUACCGGAUAGGAGCUCCUGCUGCAUGGUGGGGGUUGGAAAGUUUCGGCGGUUGGGGAUGGACUCGCGGCUUAUCAGCUUGUUGGUGGGGUAGUGGCUUACCAAGGCUUUGACGGGUAGCCGGCCUGAGAGGGUGACCGGCCACAUUGGGACUGAGAUACGGCCCAGACUCCUACGGGAGGCAGCAGUGGGGAAUAUUGCACAAUGGGCGGAAGCCUGAUGCAGCAACGCCGCGUGCGGGAUGACGGCCUUCGGGUUGUAAACCGCUUUCGCCUGUGACGAAGCGUGAGUAACGGUAAUGGGUAAAGAAGCACCGGCUAACUACG